AACGGCUUACCAAGGCGACGAUGACUAGGGGAUCUGAGAGGAUGACCCCCCACACUGGUACUGAGACACGGACCAGACUCCUACGGGAGGCAGCAGUGAGGAAUAUUGGUCAAUGGGCGAGAGCCUGAACCAGCCAAGUCGCGUGCAGGAUGACUGCCUUAUGGGUUGUAAACUGCUUUUAUAAAGGAAUAGCAACAGAAACGUGUUUCUGGAUGAAUGUACUUUAGGAAUAAGGAUCGGCUAACUCCGUGCCAGCAGCCGCGGUAAUACGGAGGAUCCAAGCGUUAUCCGGAUUUAUUGGGUUUAAAGGGUGCGUAGGCGGUAGCUUAAGUCAGUGGUGAAAGUUUGCAGCUCAACUGUAAAAUUGCCAUUGAAACUGGGUUACUUGAGUAUGGUAGAGGUAUGCGGAAUGCGUUGUGUAGCGGUGAAAUGCUUAGAUAUAACGCAGAACCCCAAUUGCGAAGGCAGCAUGCUGGACCAUUACUGACGCUGAGGCACGAAAGCGUGGGGAUCAAACAGGAUUAGAUACCCUGGUAGUCCACGCCGUAAACUAUGAAUGCUAGCUAUUGGCGAUAUACAGUCAGUGGCACAGAGAAAUCGUUAAGCAUUCCACCUGGGGA
RNAcentral lists this ribosomal RNA (620 nucleotides) under uncultured bacterium. Its description in RNAcentral is "bacterial SSU rRNA". It matches the Rfam family "Bacterial small subunit ribosomal RNA", at positions 259 to 879 of the family's 1533-position model. The record is from RNAcentral.